Phycodurus eques (leafy seadragon) is the source of this 3341-nucleotide long non-coding RNA. RefSeq lists it as uncharacterized. NCBI's taxonomy places the organism in Eukaryota, Metazoa, Chordata, Actinopteri, Syngnathiformes, Syngnathidae. The transcript has 3 exons. The record is from RefSeq and is a predicted model, not a curated record.
AGGGCAGUGGAACCGAAGCUGUAAGCCUCCCCACGACCCGACACGCCCUUGCAAAGUGCAAGACUGUAUGUUAGAUCAAGUUCCACUGUGUAUCAGAAAGUACAACUGAAUAUUGCACAUAGCCCGACUCCAUGUUGCUAAAAACCACUCCUAAUGAAUAUAAAUAUUAAGUACAAUGCAACCGUGCAUAUGUUUUACAAAAAUACUAACCCAAGAAUAAUGCAGGUUGCCCAAUGAAAAACACUCAAAAAAGCGACAUUAAAAGUGCACACUGCUAGCUAUCUUACAAUAUGAUGCUUUUAUAAAUCCAAUAAUUCCUCUUUUGCUGUGGCUCAAAAUUUAACGAACCUUUAUCUGAUUGCUAUGCUUCUCUUUCAUCGAAAUUGGCCUUCAAAUGUACAAAACCGUGAAAUCUAUCUUGCCCGCACCGCAAAUCCACUGAUUUUUGCAAUAGUCCCUGCAUGAAAGUGUUUUGGGAUCAUAGUGUGUGGGAUAUUUAUGGUUUAAACGACAAAUCUCGUCGCAGAAAUGAGCUAUUCACGGUCAGGCUUGGGCCCGAUUGCUCCUCUCGUCCCAUGAAAUCGAAGUUGGGAGUGGUCGAGAGCGCUCUCUGGUGGCCACAUUGGUGAUUGCAUCGGUCGCGUGAUGACCCACGACUACCAGUCAGCUGUUCAUUCCCGCAGAGAGGCUGGGCUCACCUGGGUCUGAUGGCUUGUCGAGCACAGAUUUGCAAAGAAAAACAACUGAACGUUCUACAAAUCAUUCAAUUGACAAAUAAAUCUCCAGGUCACGAUGAGGGUGGACUUUUGAGUCUCGCCGUACAACGCGCAUACUCGACGCACACCGAGGACAAGAAAGAUGAGUGACACGCUUGGAUGUCAAUCAUAAUAUCUUUAUACUUUUGGGGACUAAAAUCUCUGCAAGACAACAAAACAUCACAACCGUUAGAAGGAGCAAAGAAAAACUUUGAAAAUGUCUACACAUGAGCGUGCGCACGUGUGUGUGUGUGUGUGUGUGUGAGAGAGAGUGCGUUUGUGUAUUUGGCUGCAAAGGUUAAAAAAAGUUAUUCCGUGUUCUCUAAGAAGAGUUGAAUGCAAUCUCAGGUUGCACCAUGUUUGUGAUGUGGUUAUUUACAGUGUGUGUGUCUGUGAGCGGGCGCGUGUCUCAGGCGGCGGCCUCCUCUCCUUCCUCGACGUGGUUGGACUUGCCCAGCGUCUUGAUUUUGGCCAGCAUCUCCACGAGCGUCUCUUUGACACUCUUCUCCAGCAGCCAGCCUUCGCUCUCGCACUCGGGGUUCUCGGGGUCCGCCAUGGUCUCCAGAGCCGUGCACAGAGUCGCGACUGAGGAGUCGUCUGCUUCCCCACGCGUAAAGAUUUUGGGUGGUAGCGGUUGCUGAUCCACUGGACCUCGAACCAGUCCCUGAAGUUGACGUUGCCGCAGCAGCGGAACUCGAUCUGCGUCAAGUCCAGAGUGCGUUUCAUGAAGCAGCGUCCCGGCGUGUCGGUGUCCUUGUAGAAGCGGAUGCUGUUCUUCAGACCUUGGGACAGCGUCAGGUAGAUGGCGAACUGCAUGAGGAAGCAGAGCAGCGCCAGCAGCAGCAGCAAAACGUUGAAAGCGCAGCACAGCAGCAGGAACCUUCUCAGCAAGGGCUUCCACUUGGAGUACUUGAGCGGGUCCAGGGAGUCGUGGCACACUUUGCCCCCGAAGGCGUUGAGGACACAGGCCAGCAGCCCGGCCAGGAUCAGCAGGUUGGGCACCAAGUGGCUCUCGCUCUCGUCCAUCAGCUCGCUUCUCUUGCGCAGCUCCACCUUGAAGAAGACGCCCAGGCCGAAGAGGAGGACUCCCACCAGGACCGACGUCCAGUAGAGGAUCCACAGACCCUGGGCCAGCUUGACCCGCUUCUGCAGGUUGAACUUGACCGGCAUGAAGGGCAUCUUGACGUGGCGGAAAACCAACCUUUGCGCUUGGAAUUUGCGGCUAUGCUAACUCAGCCUCCGCAUCCGUCAGGCCAGGACAUGGUGGCGGGGGGCCGAGGGGGCUCCCAUCGCUCGCGGCCACAGCUCACAAGUUGUCCGGCGCCAAGUCCCGGGGCACCUUCGGCGACUCCGCUCGCUGCACAAAGUGGCCGACGCUAGUUCGUAAACCCCCGAGCCAAUUAGCUGAGCCCAUAAGCGGCCUUACGUUAAUUGGGGGCGGGGCGCACGGCCAUCGCGGGAAAAUCCACCCAGCUAUCUGUCAUUAUCUAUCCGUCUGUCCGUCCAUCCAGUGUUGCUGCAAGAAAUGAUCCAAUUUCACUUCAUUUGUAGGCCUGUCACUAUUGAAUCUUUUUACAAUCGAUUCUCCUAUUAAUUAUUGAUCGACUAUGCGAAUAGUAAUCGCCCCCCGCCACUAUCACAGACAAUAUUUAUUUUUACUACUAACAUGCAUUUUAUUUUCGUUUAUGACGGCUGGACUUCCAUCCAUCCAUUUUCUGAGCCGCUUUUGGGAUGUGGGAGGAAACCGGAGGGCCCGGAGAAAACCCACGCAGGCAAGGGGAGAACAUGCAAACUCCACACAGGCGGGGCCGGGGAUUGAACCCGGGUCCUCAAACCUGUGAGGCUGACGCUCUAACCAGUCGGCCACCGUGCCGCCACGGCUGGACUUCGAUACUUAAAUUGCAUAUGUUGAUACUCAGUUUGGUCACUGAUGGUGUAGUGGUGCACUUGCCUGACUUUGGUGCAGGCAGCGUGGGUUCAGUUCCCUCUCAGUGACGGUGCGAAUGUGAGUGCGAACGGUUGUCCGUGUCUGGAUGUGCCCAGCGACUGACUGGCGACCACUUCAGGCUGUAGUCCGCCUUUCGCCCGAAGUCAGCUGGGAUAGGCUCCGGCGCCCCACGACCCUGAACUGGAUAAGCGGUGUUGAGAAUGGAUGGAUGGAUGGAUGGAUGGAUGGUACUGAGUGUUUGGUAUAAAUUUGGGCAACAGAAUUUGAGACGCCAAUCAAUUUUACGGACUCUACUGAUUUGGGGAAAGAUAAAUCCACACAGCAGGCAAUUUUCUUGGAUAAAACCAAAUGGGCGAUCAAGAUCCAGAAUAGAUUUUUGGUUGGUGUCUCCUGAAGUUGUAGAUUCUUGUUACAGAAUCUGUGUCAAUAUUUGCAGCCCCCUUGACAGAUCACUGUGUCAUUAAUAGCACUCUGAAAGCUGGACACAACUCAAAUUCCAAGAAAGGUUAUUGGAAGUUUAUUGCUGAAUUUAUUGAACGAAGAAGACUUUGUCCAGAAAGUACCACCCCAAUUCCAAUGAAGUUGGGACGUUGUGUGAAACAUAAAUACAAACAGAAUACAAUGAUUUGCAAAUCAUG